Molecule: ribosomal RNA, 199 nt
Filed under: uncultured bacterium
Lineage: Bacteria
Description: partial 16S ribosomal RNA
Rfam family: Bacterial small subunit ribosomal RNA
Source: RNAcentral
ACGCUCGACACCUACGGGAUGCAGCAGUUGGGAAUAUUGGACAAUGGAGGAAACUCUGAUCCAGUGACGCCGCGUGAAGGAAGAAGGUCUUCGGAUUGUAAACUUAUUUUGUCAGGGAAGAAAAAAUGACUGUACCUGAAGAAAAAGCACCGGCUAACUACGUGCCAGCAGCCGGGUAAUCUGAGCGGGCUGGCAAGGC